Molecule: ribosomal RNA, 253 nt
Filed under: uncultured bacterium
Lineage: Bacteria
Description: partial 16S ribosomal RNA
Rfam family: Bacterial small subunit ribosomal RNA
Source: RNAcentral
UACAGAGGGGGCAAGCGUUAUUCGGAAUUACUGGGCGUAAAGCGUGCGCAGGCGGUUCGUCGUGUCCGAUGUGAAAGCCCCGGGCUCAACCUGGGAAUGGCAUUGGAGACUGCAAGGCUGGAGUCUGGCAGAGGGGGGUAGAAUUCCACGUGUAGCAGUGAAAUGCGUAGAGAUGUGGAGGAAUACCGAUGGCGAAGGCAGCCCCCUGGGAUGACACUGACGCUCAUGCACGAAAGCGUGGGGAGCAAACAGG